RNAcentral lists this ribosomal RNA (497 nucleotides) under uncultured bacterium. RNAcentral's name for it is "partial 16S ribosomal RNA". It matches the Rfam family "Bacterial small subunit ribosomal RNA", at positions 28 to 507 of the family's 1533-position model. The record is from RNAcentral.
GAUGAACGCUGGCGGCGUGCCUAAUACAUGCGAGUCGAGCGAACAGACGAGGAGCUUGCUCCUCUGACGUUAGCGGCGGACGGGUGAGUAACACGUGGAUAACCUACCUAUAAGACUGGGAUAACUUCGGGAAACCGGAGCUAAUACCGGAUAAUAUAUUGAACCGCAUGGUUCAAUAGUGAAAGACGGUUUUGCUGUCACUUAUAGAUGGAUCCGCGCCGCAUUAGCUAGUUGGUAAGGUAACGGCUUACCAAGGCGACGAUGCGUAGCCGACCUGAGAGGGUGAUCGGCCACACUGGAACUGAGACACGGUCCAGACUCCUACGGGAGGCAGCAGUAGGGAAUCUUCCGCAAUGGGCGAAAGCAUGACGGAGCAACGCCGCGUGAGUGAUGAAGGUCUUCGGAUCGUAAAACUCUGUUAUUAGGGAAGAACAAAUGUGUAAGUAACUAUGCACGUCUUGACGGUACCUAAUCAGAAAGCCACGGCUAACUACGUG